UGAAAUCCCCGGGCUUAACCUGGGAAUUGCGUUUGAAACUGCAGAACUAGAGUGCGGCAGAGGGAGGUGGAAUUCCAUGUGUAGCAGUGAAAUGCGUAGAGAUAUGGAAGAACAUCGAUGGCGAAGGCAACCUCCUGGGCUAGCACUGACGCUCAUGCACGAAAGCGUGGGGAGCAAACAGGAUUAGAUACCCUGGUAGUCCACGCCCUAAACUAUGUCAACUAGUUGUCGGGUCUUAUUGGGCUUGGUAACGUAGCUAACGCGUGAAGUUGACCGCCUGGGGAGUACGGUCGCAAGAUUAAAACUUAAAUAAAUUGGCGG
Molecule: ribosomal RNA, 321 nt
Filed under: uncultured Nitrosomonas sp.
Lineage: Bacteria; Pseudomonadati; Pseudomonadota; Betaproteobacteria; Nitrosomonadales; Nitrosomonadaceae
Description: bacterial SSU rRNA
Rfam family: Bacterial small subunit ribosomal RNA
Source: RNAcentral